GUCGAGAAUCUUUCACAAUGGGGGCAACCCUGAUGGAGCGACGCCGCGUGGAGGAUAAGGUCUUCGGAUUGUAAACUCCUGUCAUGCGUGAACAAGGUUGCUUGGUUAAUACCUGGGCAAAUUGAUGGUAACGCAAGAGGAAGAGACGGCUAACUCUGUGCCAGCAGCCGCGGUAAUACAGAGGUCUCAAGCGUUGUUCGGAAUCACUGGGCGUAAAGGGUGCGUAGGUGGCGUGGUAAGUCAGAUGUGAAAGCCCGGGGCUCAACCUCGGAACAGCAUCCGAUACUGCCAUGCUAGAGUACUGGAGAGGUGACUAGAAUUCUCGGUGUAGCAGUGAAAUGCGUAGAUAUCGAGAGGAAUACCAAAGGCGUAGGCAGGUCACUGGACAGUUACUGACACUGAGGCACGAAGGCCAGGGGAGCGAACGGGAUUAGAUACCCUGGUAGUCC
Molecule: ribosomal RNA, 449 nt
Filed under: uncultured bacterium
Lineage: Bacteria
Description: partial 16S ribosomal RNA
Rfam family: Bacterial small subunit ribosomal RNA
Source: RNAcentral